AGAGUUUGAUCCUGGCUCAGAAUCAACGCUGGCGGCGCGCUUAACACAUGCAAGUCGCACGAGAAAGGGAGCAAUCCUAAGUAAAGUGGCGCACGGGUGAGUAACACGUGGAUCAUCUACCUUUUAGUGGGGAAUACCUCUGGGAAACCGGAGACAAUACCGCAUAAGCCCGCAAGGGGAAAGCAGCAAUGCGCUGAAAGAGGAGUCCGCGGCCGAUUAGCUAGUUGGUGAGGUAAUGGCUCACCAAGGCGAAGAUCGGUAGCCGGCCUGAGAGGGCACACGGCCACACUGGCACUGAAACACGGGCCAGACUCCUACGGGAGGCAGCAGUGGGGAAUCUUGCACAAUGGAGGAAACUCUGAUGCAGCGACGCCGCGUGAGCGAUGAAGCCCCUCGGGGUGUAAAGCUCUUUCGACGGGAACGAUAAUGACGGUACCCGAAGAAGAAGCUGCGGCUAACUACGUGCCAGCAGCCGCGGUAAUACGUAGGCAGCAAGCGUUGUUCGGAAUUACUGGGCGUAAAGAGUGUGUAGGCGGUGCUCUAAGUCUGUUGUGAAAUCUCCCGGCUUAACUGGGAGGGUGCGGCGGAAACUGGAGUGCUCGAGGAUGGGAGAGGUAAGCGGAAUUCCUGGUGUAGCGGUGAAAUGCGUAGAUAUCAGGAGGAACACCUGGUGUAGACAGCUUACUGGACCAUUUCUGACGCUGAGACACGAAAGCGUGGGUAGCAAACAGGAUUAGAUACCCUAGUAGUCC
This 752-nucleotide ribosomal RNA is filed under the name uncultured bacterium. RNAcentral's name for it is "bacterial SSU rRNA". It matches the Rfam family "Bacterial small subunit ribosomal RNA", at positions 8 to 796 of the family's 1533-position model. The record is from RNAcentral.